RNAcentral lists this small RNA (965 nucleotides) under Arabidopsis thaliana (thale cress). Its description in RNAcentral is "putative long intergenic non-coding RNA". The record is from RNAcentral. Lineage: Eukaryota; Viridiplantae; Streptophyta; Magnoliopsida; Brassicales; Brassicaceae.
UGGUUGUCAAGUAUGUAACAAGGAGUGGUUUACGUAUCAUAUGUCACUUGUUACUUAGGCCCAUAUUCUAUAUUACACGUCUAAGUAACAUUGUUGUCUACCAAGCAAUGGUCAUCAACCUCAUUCUCUUGAAUUCAAAAAAAUGAAAAGCGGUACAAUGAGUUUUUAAUUUAAGAGAAGGAGGUUAAUGACCAUUGCAUUUGACUACUAAGUCACUUCUCAAAAAUGUCUCUACCAAGACAUUUAACACAUAAUGUCUUUAGUUUAAAGACACUUAAACAUUUAAUUAAUAUAUUUUUUGGGGACUUUCGUAAGAAUAUGCACAUUUUGGUCCAAUAAUUAGAGAAAUGAAUAUUUAGAAUGGACUUAUAGGUUUGAGCAUAUAUUAGCAAUAUAUAUGACGGGUUUGCCCUUCGUUUCAAUUUAUCAACACCAUCGUCUUCAACAAAAUUUUCUAGCCAACAUGUCUUCUCCAAUCAAAAUAAAUGAUUUUUGAUGGAAGAAAUCUAAACCCUAAGGGGAUACUAUCGAGAAAACCCUUGGUUUCUAAUCUGAAACACGGUUUGAAUGAAUUAAUCUCUAAUUCAUCACUAAAUCUAAACCAAAUUUGAUCCUUAUUGGUCAACGGAGUUCAUCAUCAUCGUCACCAACUAAUAACAGAGGAUCUGGAGACCCAAGCUACCACCCUCGCUUCUCAUUGUCGCUCAACUCACCAUCAUCGCUGAAACUCACCAUCGUCGCCAACACUAAUCGGAAGUCGAGAUUGUGUCGUCUUUUUCAUCACGAGACAUGAUUCAUGAGUCACCGUUGUUGCUUCUCACCGUCGUCAAAAUCGUUGUCCUCGCAGGAGCUCAAUCAUCACACCGUCAUUUUAAACAAGUUCUUAAAGAAGGAAGAAGAAAAUGCCAAUUAGUCUUUUACAAAGAUAGAAAGUACUCAUUUAUAUAAACCCUAGAGAAAAUGCC